Molecule: non-coding RNA, 126 nt
Filed under: Procavia capensis (Cape rock hyrax)
Lineage: Eukaryota; Metazoa; Chordata; Mammalia; Hyracoidea; Procaviidae
Source: RNAcentral
AUUCUGUAUGAAAAGAGAGAAGGUUAGCGCUCUCCUUGACAAGGAUAAAAGAGACCCUUAGGACAUACAGCAUUCAUACUGUUAAGUCAUUGCCACCUACUUUGUGGCAUCUAACCACAGUAUAUU